This 119-nucleotide ribosomal RNA is filed under the name Coturnix japonica (Japanese quail). The record is from RNAcentral. Lineage: Eukaryota; Metazoa; Chordata; Aves; Galliformes; Phasianidae.
UUCUACAACCAUCCCACCCUGGUAACGCCCGAUCUCGUCUGAUCUCGGAAGCUAAGCAGGGUCGGGCCUGGUUAGUACUUGGAUGGGAGACCUCCUGGGAAUACCGGGUGCUGUAGGCU